AACGAACGCUGGCGGCAUGCCUAACACAUGCAAGUCGAACGAGACCUUCGGGUCUAGUGGCGCACGGGUGCGUAACGCGUGGGAAUCUACCCUCAGGUUCGGAAUAACUCAGAGAAAUUUGAGCUAAUACCGGAUGAUGACGUAAUCCAAAGAAUUUUUGACCGAGGAUGGGCCCGAGGUGGAUUAGGGUGUUGGUGAGGUAAAGGCCCACCAAGCCGACGGAUCUUAGCUGGUUUGAGAGGAUGAUCAGCCACACUGGGACUGAGACACGGCCCAGACUCCUACGGGAGGCAGCAGUGGGGAAUAUUGGACAAUGGGCGAAAGCCUGAUCCAGCAAUGCCGCGUGAGUGAUGAAGGCCUUAGGGUUGUAAAGCUCUUUUACCCGGGAUGAUAAUGACAGUACCGGGAGAAUAAGCUCCGGCUAACUCCGUG
Molecule: ribosomal RNA, 432 nt
Filed under: uncultured bacterium
Lineage: Bacteria
Description: partial 16S ribosomal RNA
Rfam family: Bacterial small subunit ribosomal RNA
Source: RNAcentral